RNAcentral lists this ribosomal RNA (459 nucleotides) under uncultured bacterium. Its description in RNAcentral is "partial 16S ribosomal RNA". It matches the Rfam family "Bacterial small subunit ribosomal RNA", at positions 338 to 795 of the family's 1533-position model. The record is from RNAcentral.
CCUACGGGAGGCAGCAGUGAGGAAUAUUGGUCAAUGGCCGGAAGGCUGAACCAGCCAUGCCGCGUGAAGGUCAGUGCCCUAUGGGCGUUAAACUUCUUUUGUGCGGGAGCAAUAAUGGUCACGUGUGGCCAGACGAGAGUACCGUACGAAUAAGCAUCGGCUACUCCGUGCCAGCAGCCGCGGUAAUACGGGGGAUGCAAGCGUUAUCCGGAUUUAUUGGGUUUAAAGGGUGCGUAGGCUGGGAGGUAAGUCAGCGGUGAAAUGCCCCCGCUCAACGGGGUGAAGUGCCAUUGAUACUGCCUGGCUGGAAUGCGGAUGCGGUGGGAGGAAUGUGUGGUGUAGCGGUGAAAUGCAUAGAUAUCACACAGAACACCGAUUGCGAAGGCAUCUCACGAAUCCGCGAUUGACGCUGAGGCACGAAAGCGUGGGUAUCAAACAGGAUUAGAUACCCUUGUAGUC